UCAACUAGAUCCAAUCCAUUUUUCUAUUGUCAAAUUUUUUUAUUAUUAUUUUUUUUAAUGAGGUAAAAUUUUUAUUUUUUACUUUUUUUUAUUCGAACAAAUAUGAUACUCAUUUUUGUACUUAUCUAUUUAGGAAAUUGUUUCAACGUCCCUCCCUGAUUUAUAACUCUAUGUUAGAUCCUGAUGUGAGGAAAUUAGUACGUCAUCAUUUGCGUCAUCACUCACCAUUAACCCACGGCCACGCCACCGCGACCACGCACCUCAGUUGAGCUUUCCCUUUGCAGUCAUCGUCUUCUCUGUCUCUGUCUCUCUCUCUCUCUUCUGACUCGAAAUCACAUCGGUUUGUUUAUAUAUUUAUAUAAUUUCCAUCUCCAUGUAAUGGAUUAAUUU
Molecule: long non-coding RNA, 390 nt
Filed under: Olea europaea (common olive)
Lineage: Eukaryota; Viridiplantae; Streptophyta; Magnoliopsida; Lamiales; Oleaceae
Description: long non-coding RNA (OEUR_LNC012374)
Source: RNAcentral